This 484-nucleotide ribosomal RNA is filed under the name uncultured bacterium. Its description in RNAcentral is "partial 16S ribosomal RNA". It matches the Rfam family "Bacterial small subunit ribosomal RNA", at positions 30 to 507 of the family's 1533-position model. The record is from RNAcentral.
AUUGAACGCUGGCGGCAGGCCUAACACAUGCAAGUCGAGCGGACGAGGGGAGCUUGCUCCUGGAUUCAGCGGCGGACGGGUGAGUAAUGCCUAGGAAUCUGCCUGGUCGUGGGGGAUAACGUCCGGUAACGGGCGCUAAUACCGCAUCCGUCCUGAGGGUGAAAGUGGGGGAUCUUCGGACCUCACGCUAUUAGCUGAGCCUAGGUCGGAUUAGCUAGUUGGUGGGGUAAAGGCCUACCAAGGCGACGAUCCGUAACUGGUCUGAGAGGAUGAUCAGUCACACUGGAACUGAGACACGGUCCAGACUCCUACGGGAGGCAGCAGUGGGGAAUAUUGGGCAAUGGGCGAAAGCCUGAUGCAGCAAUGCCGCGUGUGUGAAGAAGGUCUUCGGAUUGUAAAGCACUUUAAGUUGGGAGGAAGGGCAGUAAGUUAAUACCUUGCUGUUUUGACGUUACCAACAGAAUAAGCACCGGCUAACUUCGUG